RNAcentral lists this transfer RNA (68 nucleotides) under Henosepilachna vigintioctopunctata. RNAcentral describes it as "tRNA-Gln". The record is from RNAcentral. Lineage: Eukaryota; Metazoa; Arthropoda; Insecta; Coleoptera; Coccinellidae.
UUAUAUCCAAUAAAUCUAAUUAUUUCUAAAAGUUUCAAAAACUUCUGUACAAGCAAUACUUGAAUAUA